Long non-coding RNA from Cervus elaphus (red deer), 149 nucleotides. RefSeq lists it as uncharacterized. The transcript has 3 exons. The record is from RefSeq and is a predicted model, not a curated record. NCBI's taxonomy places the organism in Eukaryota, Metazoa, Chordata, Mammalia, Artiodactyla, Cervidae.
UUUUUGGUAGAAUUCAUCUGUGAAGCUGUCUAGUUCUGGGCUUUUGUUUGCUGGAAGAUUUCUGAUUACAGUUUAGAUUUUAGUUCUUGUGAUGGGUCUAUUAAGAUUUUUCUAUUUCUUCUUGGUUCAGCUUUGGCCAGUUAUACUUU